AGCGACGCAAAGAGCACAAAGCAAACUAUUCUUAUGCCUUUUAUGAAAGAAAACCAUGUGCUCACUGCAAUUAGUGGCAUAUGCCCUUUUCUUGAGGGGUUCUCUUCCAUGAGUGCC
RNAcentral lists this small nuclear RNA (117 nucleotides) under Capsicum annuum. Its description in RNAcentral is "U5 spliceosomal RNA". It matches the Rfam family "U5 spliceosomal RNA". From Rfam's summary of the family: U5 RNA is a component of both types of known spliceosome. The precise function of this molecule is unknown, though it is known that the 5' loop is required for splice site selection and p220 binding, and that both the 3' stem-loop and the Sm site are important for Sm protein binding and cap methylation. The record is from Rfam by way of RNAcentral. RNAcentral also lists the same sequence under 1 other name. Lineage: Eukaryota; Viridiplantae; Streptophyta; Magnoliopsida; Solanales; Solanaceae.